This is a non-coding RNA of Saimiri boliviensis boliviensis (Bolivian squirrel monkey), 280 nucleotides long. The record is from RefSeq and is a predicted model, not a curated record. NCBI's taxonomy places the organism in Eukaryota, Metazoa, Chordata, Mammalia, Primates, Cebidae.
UAUUCACAUCCUUCAGAAGAUUAGUAUUUUUUUCCUUAAAAAAAUCACUAUUUAAGAAUUUCAUUGAUAAUUCCCACUGGGAGAAAGCAUCAAGCAUCAAAAUUAUCUGGGAGAAUGAUGCCAGCAAGACGACAGCAAUGAUGCCAACAAGAAGUUAUUGCUCUACAAUAUUUACUUUACCCUGUCAGUGAAUAUGACAAAAUGAUUAAAAAAGAAAUAAGUGUGUGUCAACAAAUUCAGACUCUUCUGUGCAAGAAUUUUCUUAGAAAAUGGAGAACAA